This 509-nucleotide ribosomal RNA is filed under the name uncultured bacterium. RNAcentral's name for it is "bacterial SSU rRNA". It matches the Rfam family "Bacterial small subunit ribosomal RNA", at positions 975 to 1482 of the family's 1533-position model. The record is from RNAcentral.
CUGGGUUUGACAUCCUCUGACAACCAUAGAGAUAUGGCUUUCGUAGCAAUACGACAGAGAGACAGGUGCUGCAUGGCUGUCGUCAGCUCGUGUGGUGGCAUGUCGGGUUAAGUCCCUCAACGAGCGCAACCCCUGUUUUUAGUUGCCAGCAUUAAGUUGGGCACUCUAGAAAGACUGCCGUGGUUAACACGGAGGAAGGCGGGGAUGACGUCAAGUCCUCAUGGCCCUUACACCCAGGGCGACACACGUAAUACAAUGGUCGAUACAGAGGGAAGCGAACCAGCGAUGGGGAGCAAAUCUCAAAAAGUCGAUCUCAGUUCGGAUUAGAGUCUGCAACUCGACUCUAUGAAGGCGGAAUCGCUAGUAAUCGCGGAUCAGCACGCCGCGGUGAAUACGUUCCCGGGCUUUGUACACACCGCCCGUCACACCAUGGGAGCUGACUCAACCAGAAAACAGUGUAGCUAACCGUAAGGGGGCUAUUGUUGAAGGUGGGGUUGGUGACUGGGGUG